UAAAAGUUGUGGCUCAUCGGACAUUUAUGAGAAAAAAUCUCUAAUGUCCGAGUGCAAGUGUAUGCACCACAAGACGCAAGCCAGUUACCCCCUCCCUGGCGCGAGCUGAAAUGUGAUUGGCGGCGAUUUCAUUUUGAACGGGACAGAACAAAUAGAGAAGCAUUCGGUGAAGUAGACGGAAGGAAUGAGGUAAGACUGAUCAACUACGUCUCCUGUGAAAUAAGUGUAGAACAAAGCUAAUGUUUUCCAGUUACAGAAAAGAGAGAAGUUAGAUAUGUCCAUGUGAAUCAUAACGUUAAUGCUGAUAUUGAAACGAUACAAAUCCGGUUGAGUAACGUUAUUAUCAGUAACUCUUUACUUACCGUAAUAAUAAUAAUAAAUGAUAUUUAUAUAGCGCCUUUCAAGGGACCCAAGGUCGCUAUACAGUGUGCGUGGAACGUUAGCUAGGUUUUUGUUUAAAAAAAUGUCAUGCAUGAAAUAUUUUAUAUUAUCAAUCAUUUAGCAAGAUGUACGACCUGAUCAAGGCUAAACGAUUCUGCUCUUCAAUAAUAACUUUGAAUCUUAUUUCAGGAAUCUGUUUGGAUUGCAAGCAAAGAUUUGGCCACAAGCUGGAGUUUGAAGCACACAACAUAUCCAAGUCCAGGUGUGAGGAGCCAGCUCAGCCGACACGGGAGAGUUUCCCCAAGACCCUUCAGGGAGGAGCCAGAAGAAGCUUCAGAACGGACUGGUACAAAACUCAUUCAUGGCUUGAGUACUCACAGUCCAAUGAUUCAGCGUAUUGUUUCCCCUGUAGACAUUUCUCUUUACCUGAUGCCCCCAAGACCGUUUUCACCUCAAUUGACGGGUAUCGUAACUGGAAAAAGGCCACAAUGAAAGACAGUGGUUUCUGUUCUCAUGCCCGAUCUGAAAGCCAUGUAAAUGCAAUAUUUGCACGGGGAGAAAACAAGAAAAUUAGUGACAGAAAUACCUCAAUGAUGGGAAUAAUGGAUGAGUAAAAUAAGAAACAGGUGAUUGAAAAUCAAAACUACAUUAAAACACUAGCUGAGAUUCUGAUUCUAACUGCCACAGAAAACACAGCCCAGCGGGGUCACAGGGAGAAUCCUGACUCAAAAAAAAAAGGUGUUUUUUUAGCUAUGUUAGAUUUGCUGGGAAACCAUGAUCCUAUGACUAAAAAAAGACUUGAAAAGCAAGCUAAAAAUGCAACAUACACCAGUAAAACUAUUCAAAACGAGAUACUGGAAUGUUUGGCUGCAAUGGUUAAGGAAGAAAUAAUUCAAGAGGUUAAAAAGAGCAGGCGGGUG
RNA transcript from Gymnodraco acuticeps, 1301 nucleotides. RefSeq lists it as uncharacterized. NCBI's taxonomy places the organism in Eukaryota, Metazoa, Chordata, Actinopteri, Perciformes, Bathydraconidae. The record is from RefSeq and is a predicted model, not a curated record. The transcript is spliced from 2 exons.